AUGAACGCUGGCGGCGUGCCUCAUACCUGCAAGUCGAGCGAACAGACGAGGAGCUUGCUCCUCUGACGUUAGCGGCGGACGGGUGAGUAACACGUGGAUAACCUACCUAUAAGACUGGGAUAACUUCGGGAAACCGGAGCUAAUACCGGAUAAUAUAUUGAACCGCAUGGUUCAAUAGUGAAAGACGGUUUUGCUGUCACUUAUAGAUGGAUCCGCGCCGCAUUAGCUAGUUGGUAAGGUAACGGCUUACUAAGGCGACGAUGCGUAGCCGACCUGAGAGGGUGAUCGGCCACACUGGAACUGAGACACGGUCCAGACUCCUACGGGAGGCAGCAGUAGGGAAUCUUCCGCAAUGGGCGAAAGCCUGACGGAGCAACGCCGCGUGAGUGAUGAAGGUCUUCGGAUCGUAAAACUCUGUUAUUAGGGAAGAACAAAUGUGUAAGUAACUAUGCACGUCUUGACGGUACCUAAUCAGAAAGCCACGGCUAACUACGUG
This 496-nucleotide ribosomal RNA is filed under the name uncultured bacterium. Its description in RNAcentral is "partial 16S ribosomal RNA". It matches the Rfam family "Bacterial small subunit ribosomal RNA", at positions 29 to 507 of the family's 1533-position model. The record is from RNAcentral.